This 323-nucleotide long non-coding RNA is filed under the name Gossypium barbadense (sea-island cotton). RNAcentral's name for it is "long non-coding RNA (GBAR_LNC012171)". Lineage: Eukaryota; Viridiplantae; Streptophyta; Magnoliopsida; Malvales; Malvaceae. The record is from RNAcentral.
CUCGCGAGACCAAAAUCGCCUAGCUUGGCAUUGAAGUCGGAGUCCAACAACACGUUGCUUGAUUUAAUGUCUCUGUGAACCACACAUUGUUGCCACCCUUCGUGUAAGUAAAGCAGUCCCGACGCUAAUCCUUGAGCAAUUUUGAACCUUAACUCCCAUGGCAAUAAGCUGUUUUGGUUGAACAGGUGAGAAUCUAAGCUACCAUUGGGCAUGAAUUCGUAAACAAGGAGGAGUUGUUUGUUUUCAUGGCACCAGCCAAUGAGUUGAACGAGAUUUCGAUGUCGUAAUCCGCUUAUGAUCUUUACUUCCGAAGCAUACUCUUU